UACAGAGGUCUCAACCGUUGUUCGGAUUCAUUGGGCGUAAAGGGUGCGUAGGCGGUCGCGCAAGUCGGAUGUGAAAUCUCAGGGCUCAACCCUGAAACUGCAUUCGAUACUGCGUGGCUAGAGUGCUGGAGAGGAGACUGGAAUUUACGGUGUAGCAGUGAAAUGCGUAGAUAUCGUAAGGAAGACCAGUGGCGAAGGCGAGUCUCUGGACAGCAACUGACGCUGAGGCACGAAGGCCAGGGAGCAAACGGG
Molecule: ribosomal RNA, 252 nt
Filed under: uncultured bacterium
Lineage: Bacteria
Description: partial 16S ribosomal RNA
Rfam family: Bacterial small subunit ribosomal RNA
Source: RNAcentral